Molecule: ribosomal RNA, 384 nt
Filed under: uncultured bacterium
Lineage: Bacteria
Description: bacterial SSU rRNA
Rfam family: Bacterial small subunit ribosomal RNA
Source: RNAcentral
CGAAAGCCUGACGGAGCAAGACCGCGUGAGGGAGGAAGGCUCUUGGGUUGUAAACCUCUUUUGUCAGGGAAGAAUGACGGUACCUGAAGAAUCAGCAUCGGCUAACUCCGUGCCAGCAGCCGCGGUAAUACGGGGGAUGCAAGCGUUAUCCGGAAUUAUUGGGCGUAAAGCGUCCGCAGGUGGCUAAUCAAGUCUGCUGUCAAAGGUUGGGGCUUAACCCCAAAAAGGCAGUGGAAACUGAGAAGCUAGAGUGCAGUAGGGGUAGAGGGAAUUCCCGGUGUAGCGGUGAAAUGCGUAGAGAUCGGGAAGAACAUCGGUGGCGAAAGCGCUCUACUGGACUGCAACUGACACUCAGGGACGAAAGCUAGGGGAGCGAAUGGGAUU